This 492-nucleotide ribosomal RNA is filed under the name uncultured bacterium. RNAcentral describes it as "partial 16S ribosomal RNA". It matches the Rfam family "Bacterial small subunit ribosomal RNA", at positions 29 to 507 of the family's 1533-position model. The record is from RNAcentral.
AGUGAACGCUGGCGGUAGGCCUAACACAUGCAAGUCGAACGGCAGCACAGUAAGAGCUUGCUCUUACGGGUGGCGAGUGGCGGACGGGUGAGGAAUACAUCGGAAUCUACUUUUUCUUGGGGGAUAACGUAGGGAAACUUACGCUAAUACCGCAUACGACCUACGGGUGAAAGCAGGGGAUCUUCGGACCUUGCGCGAUUGAAUGAGCCGAUGUCGGAUUAGCUAGUUGGCGGGGUAAAGGCCCACCAAGGCGACGAUCCGUAGCUGGUCUGAGAGGAUGAUCAGCCACACUGGAACUGAGACACGGUCCAGACUCCUACGGGAGGAAGCAGUGGGGAAUAUUGGACAAUGGGCGCAAGCCUGAUCCAGCCAUACCGCGUGGGUGAAGAAGGCCUUCGGGUUGUAAAGCCCUUUUGUUGGGAAAGAAAAGCAGCAGGUUAAUACCCCGCUGUUCUGACGGUACCCAAAGAAUAAGCACCGGCUAACUUCGUG